This 497-nucleotide ribosomal RNA is filed under the name uncultured bacterium. RNAcentral's name for it is "partial 16S ribosomal RNA". It matches the Rfam family "Bacterial small subunit ribosomal RNA", at positions 28 to 507 of the family's 1533-position model. The record is from RNAcentral.
GAUGAACGCUGGCGGCGUGCCUAAUACAUGCAAGUCGAGCGAACGGACGAGGAGCUUGCUUCUCUGACGUUAGCGGCGGACGGGUGAGUAACACGUGGAUAACCUACCUAUAAGACUGGGAUAACUUCGGGAAACCGGAGCUAAUACCGGAUAAUAUUUUGAACCGCAUGGUUCAACAGUGAAAGACGGUCUUGCUGUCACUUAUAGAUGGAUCCGCGCUGCAUUAGCUAGUUGGUAAGGUAACGGCUUACCAAGGCAACGAUGCAUAGCCGACCUGAGAGGGUGAUCGGCCACACUGGAACUGAGACACGGUCCAGACUCCUACGGGAGGCAGCAGUAGGGAAUCUUCCGCAAUGGGCGAAAGCCUGACGGAGCAACGCCGCGUGAGUGAUGAAGGUCUUCGGAUCGUAAAACUCUGUUAUUAGGGAAGAACAUAUGUGUAAGUAACUAUGCACAUCUUGACGGUACCUAAUCAGAAAGCCACGGCUAACUACGUG